CUGCUUUUGUGGGGUGCUCGAGUGGCGAACGGGUGAGUAACACGUGAGUAACCUGCCCUUGACUUUGGGAUAACUUCAGGAAACUGGGGCUAAUACCGGAUAGGAGCUCCUGCUGCAUGGUGGGGGUUGGAAAGUUUCGGCGGUUGGGGAUGGACUCGCGGCUUAUCAGCUUGUUGGUGGGGUAGUGGCUUACCAAGACUUUGACGGGUAGCCGGCCUGAGAGGGUGACCGGCCACAUUGGGACUGAGAUACGGCCCAGACUCCUACGGGAGGCAGCAGUGGGGAAUAUUGCACAAUGGGCGGAAGCCUGAUGCAGCAACGCCGCGUGCGGGAUGACGGCCUUCGGGUUGUAAACCGCUUUCGCCUGUGACGAAGCGUGAGUGACGGUAAUGGGUAAAGAAGCACCGGCUAACUACGUGCCAGCAGCCGCGGUGAUACGUAGGGUGCGAGCGUUGUCCGGAUUUAUUGGGCGUAAAGGGCUCGUAGGUGGUUGAUCGCGUCGGAAGUGUAAUCUUGGGGCUUAACCCUGAGCGUGCUUUCGAUACGGGUUGACUUGAGGAAGGUAGGGGAGAAUGGAAUUCCUGGUGGAGCGGUGGAAUGCGCAGAUAUCAGG
Molecule: ribosomal RNA, 613 nt
Filed under: uncultured bacterium
Lineage: Bacteria
Description: bacterial SSU rRNA
Rfam family: Bacterial small subunit ribosomal RNA
Source: RNAcentral